UAACUCUAGCAAUCAAGUUCUUUACAUUCCUUUACUUUAGGCUAUCUUUAGCUUUCUCAUUCUUUAACUUUACACGUUCUUUAUGCCCCACUUUACAUUAGCUUUAAUCAUUAAUAUCAUUCUUUACCUCGCAUUAGUUCUUUGCCUCACACUAACUCUAGUGUCACUUUACUUUACAUUUUCAAAUGCCACUCGAUCUAUGUCAUUGUGCCACUCGGUUCUUUUGGCUCACUUUGGUACUCACAUUUUCUCUCAUGCAUACAUAUAGGGUUUUAACAUUCAUAAGGUUCUCAACCAUCACAUUAAGCAAGUUGUACUCACAAUCAUGCAACAUCACAUUUUUAUCAUUACUUUACCCUAAAAUGCAUGCAACAAUGUAUAUACAUAUGCUCAAAUGAAUGACACAUUAGGCAUAGAGGGAAGUUCAACGAGUUUGAGAAGCACCACCCACCUCGUAGGCUUUCAAGGGUGCUCCGAUGAUUUUCUUGGGAUUUUUAGACUUCUCGUUCUUUACCUGCGGCAAAACGAAGCCAACUUAGGUUAUUUUGCCCAUAACUUUACAUUGGCUUUUCGUAACGUUUUUCCGAGCGCACCAACGCGCCGGAAAUACCCCCAAUUAGGUUUCUACUGGGUCAAUUUCACUUAGAAAUUCCCAUGAGCAAAAGCCCCAAUUUGGGUGCCCUAGCUCCAUAGCAUCAUCAAACCUAGGGUUUGAUCUCAUUGGGAAGCAAAAGUAGCUUCAUUAUACUCUAAAAAGUCCAUUAGAACCAUUCUUAGC
RNAcentral lists this long non-coding RNA (778 nucleotides) under Ananas comosus (pineapple). RNAcentral's name for it is "long non-coding RNA (ACOM_LNC013521)". Lineage: Eukaryota; Viridiplantae; Streptophyta; Magnoliopsida; Poales; Bromeliaceae. The record is from RNAcentral.